GUUGAAGUCCGAGGUGUUUCUACU
RNAcentral lists this non-coding RNA (24 nucleotides) under Arabidopsis thaliana (thale cress). The record is from RNAcentral. Lineage: Eukaryota; Viridiplantae; Streptophyta; Magnoliopsida; Brassicales; Brassicaceae.